AAACAGCCCCGUAUGUAUUGGAUCUUUGACAGUUUUGGCCCCCAAUGCCAUUUUUGACUUAGUCUUCGCUGACGUGGCACCUCACUUAAGGGAUGUGGGUGCCACGUCAACGAAGACUAAGUCAAAAGUGGCCUUGGGAGCCAAAACUGCCAAAGAUCCAAUACAUAGGGGGAUGUUU
This is a microRNA precursor of Medicago truncatula (barrel medic), 178 nucleotides long. It matches the Rfam family "MIR2619 microRNA precursor family". The record is from Rfam. Lineage: Eukaryota; Viridiplantae; Streptophyta; Magnoliopsida; Fabales; Fabaceae.